Molecule: ribosomal RNA, 604 nt
Filed under: Dictyopterini sp. UPOL A00519
Lineage: Eukaryota; Metazoa; Arthropoda; Insecta; Coleoptera; Lycidae
Description: partial 16S ribosomal RNA
Rfam family: Bacterial large subunit ribosomal RNA (bases 380-538)
Source: RNAcentral
CAUGGUUUUUUUGAUUAUAAUUUAAAAUCUGGUCUGCUCAAUGAUUAUUUAAAUUGCCGCAGUAUUUUAAUUGUGCAAAGGUAGCAUAAUAAUUAGUUUCUUGAUUAGAAGCUGGAAUGAAUGAUUGGACGAUAAAAUAACUGUCUCUAUGUAAUUAUUUGGUUAAUUUUAUUUUUAAGUUAAAAGGCUUAAAUUUAUUUAAAAGACGAGAAGACCCUAUAGAGUUUUAUAAUAUUAUGAGUUUUGUAAUUAGAAUUUUUUUGUUUGUUUUAUUAUUUGGUUGGGGUGACUUUAAAAUAUAAAUAAUUUUUAAAAUAUUUAAUUUUUGAUGUGAAAAUUUUUAAUCUAUAUUUUUAAAUAUAAUAUAAAUUACCUUAGGGAUAACAGCGUAAUUUUUUUUUAAAGUUCUUAUUGAAAAAAAAGUUUGCGACCUCGAUGUUGGAUUAAAAUUAAGUUUAGGUGUAGUAGCUUAAAUAUUAAGUCUGUUCGACUUUUUAAAUUUUACAUGAUCUGAGUUUAGACCGGCGUGAGCCAGGUUGGAUUCUAUCUUUAAUUUUAUAAAAUAUUUUAGUACGAAAGGACCAAUUAUUAGUUAAAUUAAUUG